UCCCUGGUGGCUCAGCAGUCAAGAAUCUGCCUGCAGGGCAGGAGACCCAGGUUCAAUCCCUGGCUCAGGAA
Molecule: transfer RNA, 71 nt
Filed under: Ovis aries (sheep)
Lineage: Eukaryota; Metazoa; Chordata; Mammalia; Artiodactyla; Bovidae
Rfam family: tRNA
About the family: Transfer RNA (tRNA) molecules are approximately 80 nucleotides in length.
Source: Rfam by way of RNAcentral